GCUGUUCCCAGAGAGACUUCUUUGCUGAAAUCGUUAGUGUCCUCUUCAAGUACCCCGUUUCAUUUUAUCUGUGCGACAAACCCUUUGAGGCAGGCCAGGAGGGUUUCAGAUGCUAUUAUCAGGAGAGAGUGUAGUUUCCUUUCCGUAGACCUCGCAGGACUGCUUGCCCGGAGGGCCAAGUAAUUGGCCCAGCAGGAAAGAGGAAGCUCGGGCAUCUAUACUCUGCAGUUCCCAAGCCUCUCCUCCUCCUCGGCCGGGCACAUGGCAUUUCCUUGGUGGCCACAGAUGUCUUUUUACCGUCUUCAUUCCUUUGCAGCUGGGGACCAAGGAGUCCCGGGUUUCCUCUCCCUUCAGAAGCCCAGAGUGCAUUUGUAGCAAUUGGACGUGUCACACCCACAGUUUCUAGAAGCCAACAUAGUAUAGGACUCGGCAUUGUGCCCGCAAUGCAGCUUCUGCAGGAAAGCCUCCUAGACACUACAGGCCAGCAGGCAUUCACUGGUCACCUGGGAUGAGGCAGACACCGUCAGGCACAGGGUGAAAGAGGACUGGAUGUUUGGCAUCUGGCAAGGUGAGGAGUCGCUGGGCACGAUGGACUCAGUGAUGACUUAGGGCAGCAUUGACUGCUGGUGGUCCCCCAAAUCUUAUUCUCCCCCACUUUCCCCAGUAAUUAGAACUCCACUUUUAGUUGAGCACAUGGCUACUUGGAAUAAAGACUGCAUACUUCUGCUGUCCUUGCAGUUAACUGUGGCCAUGUGACAAAGGGCUAGAAGAGGAAGUGGAGGGUGAGACUUCUGGGAAGUAUCCUAAAAUGGAGAGAGUGUGAGCGCUUCUUCCACCCCGCCUUUCUGCUGGUGUGAAUGCAUACGGAAUGGUUGUAGUUCAGCAGCUAUCUUGGACCUUGAGGAGACCUGGGGAACGAAAGCCAUCCUUGGCAGAGCAAAGUGUAGAUGAGACCUGGUCUGUGCACCAUGGGAUGCCAUAUUAGCCUUGGCCAGGUUAUUUCCAUGUCUGGAAAUUGGGAGAGAAAUAAAAUUCCAUCUGCACUGAGCCACUGUUAUUCUGGGUUUUGCUAUUACUCUUAGCUGAAGCCAAUCUUCAUAUAGUCUCAGGCGCAUAGCUUCCAGAUGAGCCCAGAAGAUGAGCAGAGAGAGUCCCGGCUGGAGUAAGUAAAGUGGCUUCCAGCCCCGGCUUGCCCUUGACUUGCUCUGGGAUGUUUGGAAGAUCUCUCCCUUCUCGGGCCUCAGUCCCCUCUUCUUGAACCAAGGUGUCGGACUUUGUGGGCGCCAAGAUAUCUUCUCGCCCUGCCAUUUUAUCUUCUGGAUAUUUUGAUGAGUCCUGGAAGCCCGACAUGCUGAGCCGAGAACGUUGUACUUGAUCUCAGAAGCAGUGGUGUCCUUGGAGAAUUUUCCUGGUGGGGAGUAGGGAUGGGAAGUGGCGGAGGUGAUGCUUUAAGAGGAAGUUGGAGUCUCCCGACGGACGUGUGGCUAAGCUGGGGUGGGUGCUGGGUGAACAUCAGAAGACCAGCUCUGCCAUGCACAGGGUCUGGGACUGUGGGCAUGCUGCCACCCCUCGCUGAACUUUAAUUUGCUGCCAGGGACGGGGGGACGAUCCACCCUGUCCCAGGGCAGUUGAGGCUGGGACACAGUAAUGUAUGUGAAGGAGUUCUGUGAACCCUAGAUGGCGAGGAUUGCCCUUUCCCUCAGAGCCCUUUCAGGAUGAAUUCUCCGUCCGUCUUCCCUUCUGUGUCUGCGGCUCACCCCAGUGCAUGCACUCCCCAUCAGACUGGGGGGCCUUGGGAAGCAGCGUGGCUCUGAUGUUAAGGCAGAGGGGUCCUCAGGCACCUGCCCACUCUGGCCAUUCCCCCCCCCCCCCCCCCCCCGCCACGGCAUUUUCUUCCUCUCCUGCAGGUGUCAAAGUGCUUACCCCACCUCGCCUGCUUCUCACGUGUUCUCUCUGAGGAAGGUUCUCUUCUCAUCCUCACCUCAUGAGGGACGAGGUCUGAGGCCCCGGGAGGGGAAGUCAUUUCCUCAGGGUUGCCUGCUUUUGGUGGCAGUGUGGACUGGAAAAAGAGACUGUAAGCCUGAAGCUGUUCCCAGAUUAUUUGACCUGCCCAGACUGUUUGAAGCUAGGGGAAACUUGUGGGAUCAGAGGAGAGAACUGAGGAGUGGGCCAGGCUGGGAGGCAUGCCACUGGGUGGGGGAGAGAGGGGGGCAGUAUCGCUUCAGACUCCUUGGGCCCAUGGGUCACUUCACCCGGGCUUCGGGUGCCCCCUCGUGGGCAUUGUGGGGAGUGCCCAGCCGAUCACCUUCCCCACCGUAGCCGGCUUCUGGAUGGUUCCCCGGACACUCCCUCUCCUUCAGGGUACCAGUCUACCUGUGGGACUUAUUGGACCGGUGAGAAUGUGAGCAACCUGGAGGUUUUUUUUUGGUUUAGGAGCUUAAAAUUCAAAUGCCCACAGGGGCCAGGCAGCUAAGGUAAAACAGAGAAGUUGGUGUGGGGUGAGAAACUGUGGAUAGUCACCCGCACAUAAAACAUGCUGGAAUAUUCUUGGCCUUCACAAAGAAUUACGCUUUCCCGCUGUCUUUUUUGAAACAUGCCGGCCUUCCAUCCUCCCACUGCAGACUGAAAGAUAUGCACAGGGAAGGUUUACUUUCCUUUUCUCUGUCUUAUCUGUUCGUGUUUUCUCUAUUUCAUCUUUAUUAGAAGAUGGUGCACAUAUAGAUAGGGCAUCUGACACUCGGCCUCAUUGUAGGGACGGUAAAAGGGCGUGGUGAGCACAACAGCAAACUAGAACCACUUAGAACACCUGGGCCGGAGGCACCCCUGCUCUGUUACUCUCUGGCCGUGCCCCUGCUCCUCUGCUGAGGAGCAGGUCCACCCACAGAGCCUUUGUCUCCCCAUCCUGUCCAGUAGGCCCUAAGCUCACUUCUGGGGACUGCUGGGGCUUCUUCCCUGGGUCCUGCCUCCUUUGUACCUCAUCCUGGCUGAGGGAUGGCUGACUUGGGGGUGGGGAGCCUCUAGAGCUGCCCUGUCCAAUUGGGCAGCCGCUAGCCACGUGUGGUUGAGAACUCUGAAUGUGGCUAGUCUGAAUUGAGAUGUGCUGUGACUAUAAAACCCACAUCAGAUCUUCAAGACAGUAGGAGAAAGAUGAAUAUAAAAUAUGAGCAGUCUUAAAUAUUGAUUACAUGUUGAAAUAAUAUUUUGCAUAUA
Long non-coding RNA from Mirounga angustirostris (Northern elephant seal), 3210 nucleotides. RefSeq lists it as uncharacterized. The record is from RefSeq and is a predicted model, not a curated record. The transcript is spliced from 3 exons. NCBI's taxonomy places the organism in Eukaryota, Metazoa, Chordata, Mammalia, Carnivora, Phocidae.